RNAcentral lists this unclassified non-coding RNA (359 nucleotides) under Hevea brasiliensis (rubber tree). The record is from RNAcentral. Lineage: Eukaryota; Viridiplantae; Streptophyta; Magnoliopsida; Malpighiales; Euphorbiaceae.
GUUCAAAUAAACAAAUGACAAUGAUUUCGAUAAAUUGAAAGAAAAUAUUUUAACUUAUAAAAUUUUGAAUAUAUAAAAUCAUAAACUCAUAAAAUCGUGUUGUUUUUAUUUAAAUUUUACUAUUAAAAUUGUGAUUUUACCUAGAUUUUACUUUAUUUCAAUUUUACAUAUGUUUUGAUUCGUUUUGAUGAUUCUAACUCAUAAAAUCGUAAUAUGUGUCAACUUGCGAUUUUAACAACUAUGAUCAUCAUAAUAAUUUUAGGAAACAGCACACAAAUUAGGCAUCCUUAUCCAGUAUAUUGCUAUAAGUGGCAUUCCCAAAUAUAAGAGAAUGGCAUCCUCCAUCCAAAGCCAUUGAA